GCAAUAAGAUUGAAACAAUGAACUCUAUUCCUUUCUCCAUAUCUUCAAGAAUAUCUGAACAGAUAAAAUCAAUUACAACUACAAUUGAAACGCACUUCAAUUUACUAGGAACAAAAGAAUUGGCAAAAUCUUCAGUUUACAUUGUCAUCUUUAUAGUUUGAUUUUCUUCUUUCCCUAGGAUAGAUUCCUCAAGCUUUCAUGCUCAUUCUCAUUAUUUUCUUUCUCUACAAUAAGAUCCUCAAAAUUUUCCAACUUAGUCUUGUCAUCUUGGAUGUCAACAUGUAAAGGCUAAACAUUUAAAGCUAAAGGCUCAACAACCAAUGUUUCAGAUUCUUCAAGUUGCUCUUCAUGUUCAUUAUGAAAUUUUGUAAUUGCAUCCUUUUGAGUUGUAAUUACAUCUUUAGGAAAUCUCAAUAGCUCUUCCAACUUUACUCUUAACCUACCCAAAGUUUCUUCAAGAUGCAUUACGCCUUUUUCUUGAGAUUUUUCUUGAAAUCAAAUAUUUGAGUAACAUCAUAAGCCGAAUAGUUAGCCUUAUUUGUGGCUUAAUUAAAAAAAAAAUUCCAAUAUACUUGUUGAAACAUAUAUUCCUUCUUUCAUGCUUCAAGUUUUUUCUCCCUUACUCGUAAAAGUUAUUUUGACAGUUCGAUAUUCAUAAAAUAAGUUAGGAG
This 671-nucleotide unclassified non-coding RNA is filed under the name Hevea brasiliensis (rubber tree). Lineage: Eukaryota; Viridiplantae; Streptophyta; Magnoliopsida; Malpighiales; Euphorbiaceae. The record is from RNAcentral.